This is a long non-coding RNA of Drosophila montana, 1099 nucleotides long. RefSeq lists it as uncharacterized. Lineage: Eukaryota; Metazoa; Arthropoda; Insecta; Diptera; Drosophilidae. The transcript is spliced from 3 exons. The record is from RefSeq and is a predicted model, not a curated record.
UCAGAAGACUUCCACAUUAAUCCGAAACCUUUUUCAUAUAUACAUUAUUUCCUGUGACAUAAAAAUUUGUAUUAAAAAAAUAUGGAAAAAAAUCAGAAACCUUUAUAAUGUUCAGGUCGCAAUUUUAGAAAGAAAAGUCACUCAGCGCCUUGGCAUCGGACUUGGAGCUAUCGCCCUUGUUAUGGAAGCAUACAAAAUAGAUAACCAGUGCCAGAAUUAAAAGUACCCCGAAAAUCGAACAAAACAACACACAAAGCAGUUUGCAGCCUAAUUUUAUACAGCUGGAAAUGUAAAUGGCAUUCAUUAGCGUUAUUAUUCAAAUGGGGGGAGCCAAAAUUACUUACAAUUUGCAUAUGCUACACAUCUUUAAUUUAUAAUAAUUUAAAAUUCGGUUGUAUAUACUAAGCAACUCGUUAUAAAAUAUGAUAGAAAAGUCACAAACUCCCAUUUAGGCAAAAAUAUCGGAUACCUGUGUACAAAGAGGCAAAUUCGCUUUUCUUUUUUGUAGCGAGAAAUUUGUAUUGCAUUGCGUCGGUAAAUUCAUAAAUUCGAUUAACUUAAGCCAACAGAGCAUUCAAUUGUUGUUAAGGACCUGUAAAGCCAACUGUACAAAUGAAAUUUAAAAAAUAAAAAUAAAAUAAAAAUAAAAAAGAGAAGAAAAGAAAAGAAAAAACUCGCGUCGCAUAAUCGAAAUGUAUUUCGGCUUUUUAUUGCGCCAGCCAAGUCAAGGUAAAAGUGCCAUUUGCGUUGUGGGCUUAACAAGAAAUUAUGACCUCUGGGCGGCGCAACCACAAGAUUCAACCGAAAAGAAAGUACAUAAAAAUGUGGCAGGCCACAGGAAAAAAUCCAGCCUAUACCGAUUAAAGGCAUAAACGAUGUAGGGAUAAAAGCUGGAGAACAGCAUCGAUAGUAACUUUUGUCUACCUGAUAUCUUUGUCGACUACAUAUAAGGUUGGUCGAUUUCUCAAUCUUUACAAUUGCCGUACGCUGGGAAAAACAUUAAGACGAGGGUCCGAGUUGGAAGAUAAGAGGCUUAGAUCCUGGAUGGGUAUCAGUUUGUGAGGAAAGUUGGAUGUUCUGAUACUCAACUGGAAAGACU